CCUACGGGGGGCAGCAGUGAGGAAUAUUGGUCAAUGGGCGCAAGCCUGAACCAGCCAAGUCGCGUGAGGGAUGACGGUCCUAUGGAUUGUAAACCUCUUUUGUCGGGGCGCAAGGCCCGCCACGUGUGGCGGGAAGGAGAGUACCCGAAGAAAAAGCAUCGGCUAACUCCGUGCCAGCAGCCGCGGUAAUACGGAGGAUGCGAGCGUUAUCCGGAUUUAUUGGGUUAAAAGGGUGCGUAGGCGGAUCGUUAAGUCAGUGGUCAAAUUGAGGGGCUCAACCCCUUCCCGCCAUUGAAACUGGCGCUCUUGAGUGGAAGAGAAGUAUGCGGAAUGCGUGGUGUAGCGGUGAAAUGCAUAGAUAUCACGCAGAACCCCGAUUGCGAAGGCAGCAUACCGGCUUCCGACUGACGCUGAAGCACGAAAGCGUGGAGAUCGAACAGGAUUAGAUACCCGGGUAGUC
RNAcentral lists this ribosomal RNA (460 nucleotides) under uncultured bacterium. Its description in RNAcentral is "partial 16S ribosomal RNA". It matches the Rfam family "Bacterial small subunit ribosomal RNA", at positions 338 to 795 of the family's 1533-position model. The record is from RNAcentral.